UGCAUAAAUAAAAGAUUUUCUCUUUGGUCUCCCUGUGACCUAAAUCCAAAAUUAUCACUCUUAGGCCUUGAACUGGAUAGAUUGUGGCUCUCGUGAUGUCGUAUUUGCUAAUGUGUUCAUUUGUCUUGUUCGAGGAAACUGGCUUAAGCUCUUACCAUUUGCAUACAUUAAAAUUUUAGUGCAUCAUCAAGGCAGCGAACGAUUAAACAACACCUUGUUGCAUACAUAUUAAUUGAUCCAUGGCAUUUCCUUUGUUUCAUAGAGGGCUCAGAAUGUUUAUCUUUACAUUUGAUAAAUCUAAUUGAUAAGGUUUGAUUAUUUACCCUUCUCUUUGCAGGUCAUUAAGAAAAUCAUCCACCCAAGUGAUUCAUGCGGUCUAAUUGAUAGUGUCGGCUAAGAUGUUAUUUGUUUAUGGUGUGAUUGGCAAACUGAUUGGUGUGGAAAAAGCUAUCCUGAUCCAAGACCAAUGUUAGAAAAUGAUUCAACAUCAAAACUAAUGCUAAGGACUUCCGGUCGGAUCAUGGAGUUGAACAAGAUGCAAUGAAUCUGCUUGCAGCACAGCUUUAGCCCCAGUUCAGCAACAUCCUGGUCUCCGGCGAAGUGUUCCUGAUCUUGAUCUCUCAUGUGUAUGACUGUACUUGCUUGGCUUUAUUUCUUCAGUUCCAACUAAUUGAUCUGUCUUCUUUGUAGUUGUUCAGAGUAGUUGGCAUGGGAGACGGCAACGACUGGCGCGGGCUCUGCUCAAAGGCUCGCCGGAGACAACCAACAUCUCCACAGUCUACUUGACGUGACCGUCGUCAAACACUGCAAUGCCGAGCACACUACUUGGUGUGGCCGA
Molecule: long non-coding RNA, 838 nt
Organism: Lolium rigidum
Lineage: Eukaryota; Viridiplantae; Streptophyta; Magnoliopsida; Poales; Poaceae
Exons: 3
Source: RefSeq, a predicted model, not a curated record